AAUUUUAAGGUCAAGCUACAAAGGGCGCAUGGUGAAUGCCUUGGCACUAGGAGCCGAAGAAGGACGCGAUAAGCUGCGAUAAGCCUUGGGUAGCCGCAAAUAGGCUGAGAUCCAGGGAUUUCCGAAUGAGGAAACUCACAUGGGUAACCCCAUGUAUCAUGCACUGAAUACAUAGGUGUAUGAGGGUAAACCCGGGGAACUGAAACAUCUAAGUACCCGGAGGAAGAGAAAGAAAAAUCGAUUUCCUAAGUAGCGGCGAGCGAACGGGAAAGAGCCCAAACCAGAAACUUGUUUCUGGGGUUGUGGAUAGAUCAUAAAAGAAGAGGUAUCUUAAUCGAAGAGGGCUGGAACGCCCUACCAUAGAAGGUAAUAGUCCUGUAGAUAAAAAGAGAAAACUUCGAGAUCUAAUCCAGAGUACCACGAGACACGUGAAACCUUGUGGGAAGCAGGGAGGACCACCUCCCAAGGCUAAAUACUACCUAGUGACCGAUAGUGAAGCAGUACCGUGAGGGAAAGGUGAAAAGAACCCCGGAAGGGGAGUGAAAUAGAACCUGAAACCGUGUGCCUACAACCGAUCGGAGCACGUUAAAGUGUGACGAUGUGCUUUUUGUAGAACGAGCCAGCGAGUUACGCU
This 634-nucleotide ribosomal RNA is filed under the name Clostridium botulinum. RNAcentral describes it as "partial 23S ribosomal RNA". It matches the Rfam family "Bacterial large subunit ribosomal RNA", at positions 1 to 634 of the family's 2925-position model. The record is from RNAcentral. Lineage: Bacteria; Bacillati; Bacillota; Clostridia; Eubacteriales; Clostridiaceae.